This is a long non-coding RNA of Juglans microcarpa x Juglans regia, 158 nucleotides long. RefSeq lists it as uncharacterized. The record is from RefSeq and is a predicted model, not a curated record. NCBI's taxonomy places the organism in Eukaryota, Viridiplantae, Streptophyta, Magnoliopsida, Fagales, Juglandaceae. The transcript has 3 exons.
GACGUGGAGAAGCCGAGAGGGAAGAAGGCUCGUUUCGGGGGAGGAGGAGAGGGAGAGAGAGGCGUCGUGGGGAGGUUGGGUUCGGUGAGGGGUGUUCACCGAUGAGGUGGUGGUGGCGCGGCGCUACAAUGGUGGUCGGUUGCUGGGCUAUGGUUGAA